AGAACAAGAGAGGGUGGGAAAAUAAGAAAGGAAAAUAGAACAUUUUAGGGAAAGGGAAUAGUGUGUGCAAAGAUGAAGAAGUAUAAAAGAAAAUGUAGCUUAUUCCAGAAACUGCUAAAAGGAUCAAUAUGCUGUCGUGUCAUGAGAGAGCCACAAUUCUUCAAACAUAUUUAACUGCUGGAGAGAAUGGCUCAGAAUCCCAGGUAUCAGCUUCAGCACACAGAUAAAAUAUAAGAAAGAAUUUGAGGUUGAUGUCAGAAGCAUUUCCAACAGGGCUAAGGAAGUAUUUUUUUGGAAGAUCUCUUCUUGGCCCUUGACAGAAGAAGCAGAGUAACUUUUCUUAGGUGGCAUAAUUCUUCAAAAUGUGUUCAUUUUGAAGAACAGGGGUGAUGGAUGGUAAUACACAGGCAGGGAUCAACAGUCCCAGAACUGAAGGAAGAGUUGACAAAUGUAUCAAAGAUGCCUAAUCAAAAUGUGUCCACAUUCUGCUAAAUAAAUUCUGGUUGAGCAGAACUAACAAA
RNAcentral lists this long non-coding RNA (521 nucleotides) under Homo sapiens (human). Its description in RNAcentral is "long independently transcribed non-coding RNA 2173 (LINC02173)". The record is from RNAcentral. Lineage: Eukaryota; Metazoa; Chordata; Mammalia; Primates; Hominidae.